ACGCUCGACACCUACGGGAGGCAGCAGUGGGGAAUAUUGCACAAUGGGGGAAACCCUGAUGCAGCGACGCCGCGUGAAGGAAGAAGUAUUUCGGUAUGUAAACUUCUAUCAGCAGGGAAGAAAAUGACGGUACCUGACUAAGAAGCCCCGGCUAACUACGUGCCUGCAGCCGCGGUAAUCUGAGCGGGCUGGCAAGGC
Molecule: ribosomal RNA, 198 nt
Filed under: uncultured bacterium
Lineage: Bacteria
Description: partial 16S ribosomal RNA
Rfam family: Bacterial small subunit ribosomal RNA
Source: RNAcentral